GAAAUAUAAGAACCCGUCUCUUAAUUUUUAACUAAAAAAACUAAGAACCGGUUCUUAAAACUCUUAUUUAAGAACCGGUUCUUAGCUUUUUUUAGUUAAAAGUUAAGAGACGGGUUCUUAUAUUCC
RNAcentral lists this microRNA precursor (126 nucleotides) under Brassica oleracea var. oleracea. Its description in RNAcentral is "MIR9563 microRNA precursor family". It matches the Rfam family "MIR9563 microRNA precursor family". Lineage: Eukaryota; Viridiplantae; Streptophyta; Magnoliopsida; Brassicales; Brassicaceae. The record is from Rfam by way of RNAcentral.